This 163-nucleotide non-coding RNA is filed under the name Erysipelotrichaceae bacterium. RNAcentral describes it as "6S RNA". It matches the Rfam family "6S / SsrS RNA". Rfam says of the family: E. coli 6S RNA was the first non coding RNA to be sequenced, but its function was unknown until recently. It consists of 184 nucleotides that fold into an extended hairpin structure with a large single-stranded internal bulge. The 6S RNA specifically associates with RNA polymerase holoenzyme containing the sigma70 specificity factor. The record is from RNAcentral. Lineage: Bacteria; Bacillati; Bacillota; Erysipelotrichia; Erysipelotrichales; Erysipelotrichaceae.
GAGUGCCCAAAGGGAUUACAUGUAUUUCCGACACUUUGAUAUACGGGAGUUCGGAUGUCUUGAUUUGGUGUGAAUGCCGGAACAUUUUUUCGGAAUCCUAAAAUUUCAAGCAGAACACCCACUUGCCUGCGGCAGGGAAUAAUAUCAAACCUUUGGGUCCUGA